RNAcentral lists this long non-coding RNA (751 nucleotides) under Cyanistes caeruleus (blue tit). RNAcentral's name for it is "lncRNA (ENSCCEG00000000287.1)". Lineage: Eukaryota; Metazoa; Chordata; Aves; Passeriformes; Paridae. The record is from RNAcentral.
UCCCCCCAAAUCCCCCAAAUUUUCCCAUUUUCUCCUUUUUUUUCCCCAGGAUUACGCCCAGAGCCGUUUCCAGGCCUAUUUCCAGCACAAAUCCCGCUGCUCCUGAGGCACCCCCAAAUUUGGGGGGUCCCAGAUGAUUUUUGGGGUCCCCAAAUGAUUUUUGGGGGGUUCCAAAUGAUUUUUGGGGACCCCAAACAAUUUUUGGGGGGUCCUCAAAUGGUUUUUGGGGUGGCCCCAAACAAUUUUGGGGGUCCCAGAUGAUUUUUGGGGGUCCCAAACGAUUUUUGGGGGAUCCUCAAAUGGUUUUUGGGGUAGCCCCAAACGAUUUUGGGGGUCCCAGAUGAUUUUUGGGGUCCCAAAUGAUUUUUGGGGGGUCCCCCAACGGUUUUGGGGGGGUCCCAAACGAUUUUUUGGGGUCCCAAAUGAUUUUUGGGGGGUUCCAAAUGGUUUUUGGGGGGUCCCAAACGAUUUUUGGGGGUCCUCAAAUGCUUUUGGGGGGUCCCAAACGGUUUUUGGGGUCCCCAAACGGUUUUUGGGGUCCCCAAACUGUUUUUUUGGGGUCCCCAAACGGUUUUUGGGGGGGUGGGCGCCCCCCGCGCCCCCCCGGAUCGGCAGCAGAGGUGGGUGGGGACCCCAAGGUUGGGAUUUGGGGAGGGGGCGGCUCUGGGGACCCCCCAAAUCCGCACCCCCGGCCAGUAUUGGGGUUUUUGGGGUGGUUUUUGGGGUUUUUUGGGGGGGAUUUUGGGGUUUU